GACGAACGCUGGCGGCGUGCUUAACACAUGCAAGUCGAACGGAAAGGCCUCUUUCGGGGGGUACUCGAGUGGCGAACGGGUGAGUAACACGUGAGUAACCUGCCCUUGACUUUGGGAUAACUUCAGGAAACUGGGGCUAAUACCGGAUAGGUGCUCCUGCUGCAUGGUGGGGGUUGGAAAGUUUCGGCGGUUGGGGAUGGACUCGCGGCUUAUCAGCUUGUUGGUGGGGUAGUGGCUUACCAAGGCUUUGACGGGUAGCCGGCCUGAGAGGGUGACCGGCCACAUUGGGACUGAGAUACGGCCCAGACUCCUACGGGAGGCAGCAGUGGGGAAUAUUGCACAAUGGGUGGAAGCCUGAUGCAGCAACGCCGUGUGCGGGAGGACGGCCUUCGGGUUGUAAACCGCUUUCGCUCAUGACGAAGCUUUGUGUGACGGUAGUGGGUAAAGAAGCACCGGCUAACUACGUG
Molecule: ribosomal RNA, 467 nt
Filed under: uncultured bacterium
Lineage: Bacteria
Description: partial 16S ribosomal RNA
Rfam family: Bacterial small subunit ribosomal RNA
Source: RNAcentral